AACGAACGCUGGCGGCAUGCCUAACACAUGCAAGUCGAACGAGACCUUCGGGUCUAGUGGCGCACGGGUGCGUAACGCGUGGGAACCUGCCCUUAGGCUCGGCAUAACUCCCCGAAAGGGGUGCUAAUACCGGAUAAUGUCUUCGGACCAACGAUUGAUCGCCUUUGGAUGGGCCCGCGUGGGAUUAGCUAGUUGGUAGGGUAAAAGCCUACCAAGGCGACGAUCCAUAGCUGGUCUGAGAGGAUGAUCAGCCACACUGGGACUGAGACACGGCCCAGACUCCUACGGGAGGCAGCAGUGGGGAAUAUUGGACAGUGGGCGAAAGCCUGAUCCAGCAAUGCCGCGUGAGUGAUGAAGGCCUUAGGGUUGUAAAGCUCUUUUACCCGGGAUGAUAAUGACAGUACCGGGAGAAUAAGCUCCGGCUAACUCCGUG
Molecule: ribosomal RNA, 433 nt
Filed under: uncultured bacterium
Lineage: Bacteria
Description: partial 16S ribosomal RNA
Rfam family: Bacterial small subunit ribosomal RNA
Source: RNAcentral